RNAcentral lists this ribosomal RNA (862 nucleotides) under Dicrocoelium dendriticum. RNAcentral's name for it is "partial large subunit ribosomal RNA". It matches the Rfam family "Eukaryotic large subunit ribosomal RNA", at positions 161 to 698 of the family's 3401-position model. Lineage: Eukaryota; Metazoa; Platyhelminthes; Trematoda; Plagiorchiida; Dicrocoeliidae. The record is from RNAcentral.
GCAGAAGCGCUGCUCCACCCCAAGUCCAUCAAUGAGUACGGUAGUACAGACAUGGCCCAUGGAGGGUGAAAGGCCCGUUCGGGUGGAGAUUCGGCAGGCCAGUGCUUCUCUGGGUAGACCUUGGAGUCGGGUUGUUUGUGAAUGCAGCCCAAAGUGGGUGGUAAACUCCAUCCAAGGCUAAAUACAAGCACGAGUCCGAUAGCGAACAAGUACCGUGAGGGAAAGUUGAAAAGUACUUUGAAGAGAGAGUUAACAGUGCGUGAAACCGCUCAGAGGUAAGCAGGUGGAGUUGAACUGCAAGCUUUGAGAAUUCAGCUGGUGAGGUUGGUUUGGGCUUGGUCAAAUUGGUUGGGCCCCGAAGUACGUUAAACCACGUGUCCUUUCCCUUUGGGUUGGGAUGUGCGAUACACUUACCAAGUGUUGCACGCUUUGGGUGUUCAUCGAGCCUCCUUGUCAGUGCACUUUCUCAGAGUGGUCACCACGACCGACGCCGCUGUCAGGCUGUCAUAGUUAAACCGGUCUUGAGUGUCCUUGUGGCAUUGCCUGGUCGGGAUGGCAGGUAGCUUGUUGGCUCGCUUCGGCUUGCUUUCGAGUGUAAUCAGCUGACUGUGACGGUUCUGUGCAGUGCGUCGGAGACGGCGGCCAGUGGUGUGUGCAUGCGUGCCCGAUUUGUUGGCGUACCCUGGUUUGGUUUCUGUGUUGCCUGUGAUAGCAGGCCUAGUUAUGGCUGGGGUUCGUUCGGCGAAUGGUUGCGUGUGUGGCACUUCCAAGGGCCAAUAGUCUGUGGUGUAGUGGUAGACUAUCCACCUGACCCGUCUUGAAACACGGACCAAGGAGAGUAACAUGUACGCGAGUCUAUUGG